Molecule: long non-coding RNA, 2399 nt
Filed under: Capsicum annuum
Lineage: Eukaryota; Viridiplantae; Streptophyta; Magnoliopsida; Solanales; Solanaceae
Description: long non-coding RNA (CANN_LNC021538)
Source: RNAcentral
UGGCUACUUUAAAGGUGUUUUUUUGUUUUAAAUGUUGUUUUGUUUGGUGAGUUGUUAGAUCGAAAAAGGAUAUGUCUAGGAACUUUAAAGGUACUUUUCUAUUUUGAAAAUGGUUAUGUUUGGUGACUUGUUAGGUUGAAAAUGGUUAAGUGUAGGGACUUUAAAGGUGCAUUUUUUUUAAAGUGGUUAUGUUUAGUGACUUGGUAGGUUGAAAAUGGUUAAAUGUCGGGACUAUAAAGGUUCUUUUUAGUUUUGAAAAUGGUUAUGUUUGGUGACGUGGUAGGUUGAAAAUGGUUAAGUGUAGGGACUUUAAAGGUGCUUUUUUUGUUUUGAAAGUUCUUAUGUUUGGUUUGUCGGUAGGUUGAAAAUGGUUAAAUGUUGUGACUUUAAAGGUGUUUUUUUUAAAAGUGAUUAUGUUUGGUCACUUUGUAGGUGUAAAAUGGUUAAGUAUAGGUACUUUAAAGAUGCUUUUUUGCUUUAAAAGUGUUUAUGUUUGGGGACUUGGUAGGUUGAAAAUGGUUAAGUGUAGGGAUUUUGUAGGUGCUUUUUUAUUUGAAAAUGGUUAUGGUUGGUGACUUGGUAGGUUGAAAAUGGUGAUGUGUAGGGACUUUAAAGGCGAUUUUUCGCUUUGAAAGUAGUUAUGCUUCGUGACUUGAUUGGUUGAAAAUGGUUAAUUGUAGGGACUUUAAAGGUGGUUUUUUUUUUUAGAAUUGGUUGUGUUUGGUGACUUUUGUUUUAAAUGUGGUUAUGUUUCGAGAGUUGGUAGAUUGAAUUUUUUUUUUUUUGAAAGUGGUUUUGCUUGGUGGCUUGGCAGGUUGAAAAUUGUUAAGUUUAGGGACUUUAAAGGUUUUUUUUUUGUUUUGGAAGUGGUUAUGUUAAGUGACUUGGUAGGUUGAAAAUGGUUAAGUGUAGGGACUUUAAAGGAGUAUUUUUUUAAUUUUGUUAAGUUUGGUGACUUGGUAGGUUUAAAAUACUUAAGUGUACGGAAUUUAAAGAUGUUUUUUUUGGUGUGAAUAUGGUUAUGUUUGGUGAUUUGGUAGGUUUAAAAUGAAUGUAGAGACUUUAAAGAUUUUUUUUUGGUUUGAAUGUAGUUAUGUUUGGAGAGUUGGUACAUUGAAAAUAGUUAAGUGUAGGAACUUUAAAGGUGCUUUUUAAUUUUGAAAGUGGUUACGUUUUGCGUUUGGUAGGUAGAAAAUGGUUAAAUGUAGGGACUUUAAAGGUGCUUUUAUGUUUUUAAAGUGGUUAUGUUUUGUGACUUGGUAGGUUAAAAAUGGUAAAGGGUAGGGACUUUAAAGGUGCUUUUUUAUUUGGAAAGUUAUUAUGUUUGGUGACUUAGUAGGUUGAAAAUGGUUAAGUGUAGGUACUUCAAAUGUGUUUUCUUGUAUUGAAAGUGGUUAUGUUUGGUGACUUGGUAGGUUGGAAAUGGUUAAGUGUAGGGACUUUAACGGUGCUUUUUUGUUUUUGAAGUGGUUAUGUUUUGUAUCUUGGUAGGUUGAAAAUGGUUAAAUAUAGUGACUUUAAAGGUGUUCUCCUUAAGUGGUUAUGUUUGGUGACUUGGUAGGUUAAAAAUGGUUAAGUGUAGGGACUUUAAAGGUGAUUUUUUUUUUGAAAGUGGUUAUGUUAGGUGACUUGGUAGAUUUAAAAUGGGUCAGUGUAUGGACUUUAUUGGUCCUUUUUUAUUUGGAAAGUCGUUAUUAUUGGUGACUUGGUAGGUGGAAAAUAGUUGUGUAGGGACUUUAAAGGUUGUUUUUUUAUUUUGAAAGUGAUUUAUUUGGUAACUUGCUUGGUUUAAAAUGGUUAAAUAAAGGGACUUUAAGUGUUUUUUUUUAACUGGUUAAGUUUGGAGACUUGGAAUGUCGAAAAUUGUUAAGUGUAGGGACUUUAAAGGUUCUUUAUUCUUUUGGAAGUGGUUAUGUAGGGUGACUUGGUAGGUUGAAAAAUGUUAAGUGCAGGGAAUUUGAAUGUGUUAUUUUUGAUUUUAAAAGUGGUUAUGUUUGAUGAGUUGAAAGGUUGAAAAUUAUUAUGUGUGGCUACUUUAAAGGUGUUUUUUUUGUUUUAAAUGUUGUUUUGUUUGGUGAGUUGUUAGAUCGACAAAGGAUAUGUCUAGGAACCUUAAAGGUACUUUUCUGUUUUGAAAAUGGUUAUGUUUGGUGACUUGUUAGGUUGAAAAUGUUUAAGUGUAGGGACUUUAAAGGUGCAUUUUUUUUAAAGUGGUUAUGUUUGGUGACUUGGUAGGUUGAAAAUGGUUAAAUGUUGUGACUUUAAAGGUGUUUUUUUAAAAAGUGAUUAUGUUUGGUCACUUGGUAGGUGUAAAAUGGUUAAGUGUAGGUACUUUAAAGAUGCUUUUUUGUUUUGAAAGUGUUUAUGUUUGGGGACUUGGUAGGUUGAAAAUGGUUAAG